Molecule: ribosomal RNA, 423 nt
Filed under: Staphylococcus aureus
Lineage: Bacteria; Bacillati; Bacillota; Bacilli; Caryophanales; Staphylococcaceae
Description: partial 23S ribosomal RNA
Rfam family: Bacterial large subunit ribosomal RNA
Source: RNAcentral
CACAUCGACGGGGAGGUUUGGCACCUCGAUGUCGGCUCAUCGCAUCCUGGGGCUGUAGUCGGUCCCAAGGGUUGGGCUGUUCGCCCAUUAAAGCGGUACGCGAGCUGGGUUCAGAACGUCGUGAGACAGUUCGGUCCCUAUCCGUCGUGGGCGUAGGAAAUUUGAGAGGAGCUGUCCUUAGUACGAGAGGACCGGGAUGGACAUACCUCUGGUGUACCAGUUGUCGUGCCAACGGCAUAGCUGGGUAGCUAUGUGUGGACGGGAUAAGUGCUGAAAGCAUCUAAGCAUGAAGCCCCCCUCAAGAUGAGAUUUCCCAACUUCGGUUAUAAGAUCCCUCAAAGAUGAUGAGGUUAAUAGGUUCGAGGUGGAAGCAUGGUGACAUGUGGAGCUGACGAAUACUAAUCGAUCGAAGACUUAAUCAAA